UACGUAGGUGGCAAGCGUUAUCCAGAAUUACUGGGUGUAAAGGGCGCGCAGGCGGCCUUGCAAGUCGGAUGUGGAAGAUCAAGGCUCAACCUUGACAGGUCAUCCGAAACUGUAAGACUUGAGUGUCAGAGGGGAAAGUGGAAUUCCUAGUGGAGCGGUAAAAUGCGCAGAUAUUAGGAGGAACACCGGUGGCGAAGGCGACUUUCUGGCUGACAACUGACGCUGAGGCGCGAAAGCGUGGGGAGCAAACAGGAUUAGAUACCCU
Molecule: ribosomal RNA, 265 nt
Filed under: uncultured prokaryote
Description: partial 16S ribosomal RNA
Rfam family: Bacterial small subunit ribosomal RNA
Source: RNAcentral